UUAGCACUGGAGCAGAGUCA
RNAcentral lists this microRNA (20 nucleotides) under Taeniopygia guttata (zebra finch). RNAcentral's name for it is "tgu-miR-2980". Lineage: Eukaryota; Metazoa; Chordata; Aves; Passeriformes; Estrildidae. The record is from miRBase by way of RNAcentral.